AGCAGCAAGAGGUAGAAUCCAAAAGAGGAGAAGAGCAGCCUGCAGAUGUGGACUGCUAAAUGCAGGCUGAUCUUCUCCUCUUUGGGAUUCUCUUGUGAGAGGCCA
Cercocebus atys (sooty mangabey) is the source of this 105-nucleotide microRNA precursor. NCBI's taxonomy places the organism in Eukaryota, Metazoa, Chordata, Mammalia, Primates, Cercopithecidae. The record is from Ensembl.